CCUACGGGUGGCAGCAGUGAGGAAUAUUGGUCAAUGGGCGCUAGCCUGAACCAGCCAAGUAGCGUGAAGGAUGACUGCCCUAUGGGUUGUAAACUUCUUGUCUAUGGGAAUAAAGUGCAGUAUGUAUACUGCUCUGCAUGUACCUUAUGAAUAAGCAUCGGCUGACUCCGUGCCAGCAGCCGCGGUAAUAUGGGGGAUUCGAGCGUUUUCCGGGUUUAUUGGGUUUAAAGGGAGCGUAGGCGGGUUGUUAAGUCAGUUGUGAAAGUUUGCGGCUCAACCGUAUAAUUGCAGUUGAUACUGGCAUCCUUGAGGACAGUAGAGGUAGGCGGAAUUCGUGGUGUAGCGGUGAAAUGCUGAGAUAUCACGAAGAACUCCGAUUGCGAAGGCAGCCUGCUGGACUGUAACUGACGCUGAUGCUCGAAAGUGUGGGUAUCAAACAGGAUUAGAUACCCGUGUAGUC
Molecule: ribosomal RNA, 460 nt
Filed under: uncultured bacterium
Lineage: Bacteria
Description: partial 16S ribosomal RNA
Rfam family: Bacterial small subunit ribosomal RNA
Source: RNAcentral